This is a long non-coding RNA of Mirounga angustirostris (Northern elephant seal), 1519 nucleotides long. RefSeq lists it as uncharacterized. NCBI's taxonomy places the organism in Eukaryota, Metazoa, Chordata, Mammalia, Carnivora, Phocidae. The transcript has 4 exons. The record is from RefSeq and is a predicted model, not a curated record.
UUGGUGACUCCAUUCCUCCCAGAAGCAAUAAACAGCCUGGCCUCUCCCAUCCUCAGGCAGAAUGCUUAUGAUACUGUCAGCCCUAUGCAGGCAAAAUUUCCUUUUCUCCAAGUUUGUCAGACAGGGUGACUCAUUCUUCACGACCCAGGUUAACCCAAAUACACACAGGAGAAGAGUGAUAAAAUCCUAUGGGUCUGGAGGAGAGUGUGAGGGAAGAGCAUAAGAAAGUGGAAUGUUCUUGAGUCAGGGAGGUUCUUGACCCAGCCACGGAUGGUGACUGAGCCCUUACUGCACUCAGGUGUUGUGCUCACCGCUGCAGAGGAUAUGAAGGGGCUUGGCAAUGAAUUCUCCUUCAGCGAGCCCACUGUCUAGUGAGAGAGAUAAAACCAGACUAAAGGAGGAAAAUGAUCUUGUCUAAAGAGAGGUGCCUACUAAGUGUGGCAGGCACUAUGGUUACCUCCCCAGCAUUCUUCCCUUCCUACUCAUAGAACCCUGAUCUUAUUUAGGGAUGGAGUAGAAAUAUCUGGAUUUCAGAGAAGGUGGCCUCUGUCUGGAGGUGGGCACGUGACCCAGUUCUGCAGGAUGGAAAUGUGCCCGAGGGCUUCUGGGAAAGACUUACUGUGGCCAUCCUAGCCUCCUGGCUUGGAAGGGGGCAUGAAGGCUGAAGGCGCAGCAAUCUUGCAACCGAGAGAUAACUUGAAGACUAAUAGGCACCACGACAGGGAUGAUGCAUGAGAAAGAAGAAAAGAUUUGCCUGGAUCUUUAAUGACCCAUGGAGUAGCUGCCCACCUCCCAACUUCUCAAGGUGUGGGAAAAAUAACCUCCAGAUAUUUUGUAAGGCAACCGUUGGAUGUGUGUCCUGUUCUUGGCAGCUGCAGGCCUUCCUGACUGGUACAUUUGGAUACUGGGCAAGUACGGAAGAAAGAGAAAUUAAUCUCCAGUUGAAUGGAUUAGGGAAAAAUGUUGAAAGGCGUGUAACUUCAGGAGCACACAGGCUAAGUAGGGUGCGUCACACAAUGGGAUGUCAUGGGGCUGUGUUGAAGAAUGAAGAUGUCACAGUGUACUGAUCAGAAAGCCUCUCCAGAAUGGGCUAAUGCUGUUUUGAAGCCAAAAACACCUAAAAAGCUGCCUUGGACAAGAUUUCCCGCUAGGAUUCCCAAUGAGGGUGCAGCCACCAGCCGUGGGUCUAACCCACAGGUCUCUAAUAAAAGCAGAACAAAAGGUCAACAGAGACAGUCACGUACUUCUCUUCCAUCCAGCCAUCUGCACCCAUGAAGUUCCCACCCGGACCCUGUGGGCAUUUGGAAUUGCGACUCCUGGUCUGGUUAAGCUCAUCAUUUAAAAAAUAACAUUAGGGGCGCCUGGGUGACACAGUUGGUUAAGCAUCCAACUCCUGGUUUUGGCUCAGUCGUGAUCUCAGGGUCGUGAGAUCGAGCCCUGCAUCAUGCUCCGCUCUCAGCAUGGAGUCUACUUGGGUUUCUCUUUCCUGCUCCAUCUGCUCCUCCCCACUCUGUUUCUC